AGACGUUUUGUUAGCAUGUGGAGGAAGACGUUCUGUUAGGAUGUGGAUGUAGACGUUCUGUUAGCAUGUGGAGGUAGACGUUCUGUUAGCAUGUGGAGGUAGAUGUUCUGUUAGCAUGUGGAUGUAGAUGUUCUGUUAGCAUGUGGAUGUAGACGUUUUGUUAGCAUGUGGAGGUAGACGUUUUGUUAGCAUGUGGAUGUAGACGUUUUGUUAGCAUGUGGAGGUAGAGGUUCUGUUAGCAUGUGGAGGUAGACGUUCUGUUAGCAUGUGGAUGUAGACGUUCUGUUAGCAUGUAGUGGCAUAUCUUCUGUGGGUCUGGGAGGGGACAGCCACAUAAGCAGUUGGUUUGAUGUCAUAUUCGUCUUUGGGUGUGUCAUGACGGUUCCAGAAAUCUCCCCUCAGGGUUUAUUGGGGUUUGGCUGUCAGGUGAGAGAGAAAUACUCCUGCUGUGAGGCAUGAUGGGAACGUCCUUGGUGAGGUAAGGGGAGAGAGCGCUAAGGAAUGCAGCGAGAUGCAGGGGCUGCCGGUGAGCUUGGAAAGUGGCUCAUAACCUAAGGAUGAGGUCAUGAUGAGCUGCACUCAGCCUGGGUCCAGUUUUCAUGCUGGGGGUGGAGUUUUGGGUUCUCACUCCCCCCCUCUUUUACAGCACAGGAUCUUUGAAGGAGAUGGAGUUCAGGUAGAGUGUUGACCUGAGUGAGGAAAUGUUGUGUAGAUUGAUUUUAAGCACAUGAAGGAGAUUCAGGUGGGACGUGAACCUAAUGACACUUCAGUCCCUCCCAAAUCUUUCUGGCAUUUUUAAUCUCAGUUUAAACAAAAAUAUCUGAAGUUGUGAGUGUUUUCUGAAGUGUUGCAAGAAAUAUUUCAAUGUUUUUCAAUAAUAAUUCCAACUAAAGGGUGUAGGACAACCAACACAUUGUAAGCUCUUUUUCCUUUAGCUUAUUAAAGUCAUGUCAUGUUCUGUAACCCCACAGAAAAUGCUCAGCAUUGAUGAAAUUCCUUAUUUCAAAAAUGAAACAAACUUUUUUGUUCAUCUGAAAACCACAGUAAAACUUUCACAAUUUUGCAAGAGCAGCAUGCUUAGUAGAUCUUACACCAAAAUGAUCAACUUUAUAUCCAAGUGAAAAUGUAAAGUUUGAUCAGUUUGUCCUAUGUUUUAAUCACAAGGAGGUGGGGACAUUAAUAUCAUAAUGUAGAGGGAAUGUUUGACUUGUUAGAUAGUUGAAAUGUUUGAAAAACUUGUGAUAUGACUACACUACCCAGAAUGCUUAGAGGGCUCAAAGAAAGGCUUGGUCAGAGGGGUUGAAGGGAAGUUGCUUUAUUUUUCUGGUGAGCCGUAAGAGUGUCGAGGCUGCUCUCCUGGUGCUUUUUUCCCCCCAACGACCAUGCUGACAUUCUCAAGACGGAGCAGCACAACGGAAGCUGUUCAAAAUGAGAGCGACUGGCCAAAGCUGUGCUGAUCGAAUAAAACUGCUGUGUCAAGAAAUAGGGAUUAAUUCUGACGCUGUCCUGCGUGUGACCAGAGGCCCUUCACUGUUAGAUACUGGCAUCUAAAGUAACGAACACCUGUUAGCCCUGGCGUUUAUUAGAGACCGACCACCACUGGAAGGUCAGUCCAGGAUCCCAGCAGUUUUGUGUGGAGAGUCAGAGAAUAAAAUGUGAGUCUAGCCAGAUGUGAUGUGGAUACAGAAUCUGGACGAAGCAGCUGGCUUUGAUGGUUGUUAUCACAUACCCUCGAUCAGUCCACAGUCUUCAGUGGACUCCAGCCUUUCAUUUGUGUUGAAGACCCCGGCGCAGGUCAGUGACGGUUGAUGUUGAGCAGCUCCAGCAGCAGCAAGAAUAAUCCUGCAAAGAGACUUCGCCUUGGUGACUCUGUCUUGACUGUGCCAUAGAGCGCUGUGCGAUGACGCACAGCCGCCGCGAGACUGGACAUGUGGGAGUUCGUUUGUGUGGACCUUUUCGUCUACUUUACAUCAAUGUGCUUCUAUGUUGAUGCAUUUUUGCUUGUACUUCAAUCUAUCCCGUCCUACUGCAAUACAGAUUGAAGAUGUUUUAUUUUUGACAUUGUUCCUGUACCCUGCUCAUGGGUCUUUUCUGGGCGAUAAGCGCUGCCAGAUAUGUGUGGCUGCUGCCCACUAUUGGGCAAUAUGUCUUGUUUGUGACGUUUUGUCUACCAGUUGGUAUAAUAAAGUUUGAUUGUUUUUUUUCCCGUUAAAUUAGUCCAGGAGUCGGUAACCUUUAACAGUAAAAGAGCCAUUUGGGUUUGUUUUCUACUGAUUAAAACCUAGAAGGAGCUGCAUAGUCUUACUUUGACCUUUAAAAAAUUUGGAUUUGCAUUCAUGGCC
Molecule: long non-coding RNA, 2342 nt
Organism: Oryzias melastigma (Indian medaka)
Lineage: Eukaryota; Metazoa; Chordata; Actinopteri; Beloniformes; Adrianichthyidae
Exons: 3
Source: RefSeq, a predicted model, not a curated record